GAGGGUAUAGCUCAGUGGUAGAGUGCAUACCCAGCAUACACAAUGUCCUGGGUUCAAUCCCUUGUACCUCCA
Camelus ferus (Wild Bactrian camel) is the source of this 72-nucleotide transfer RNA. It matches the Rfam family "tRNA". Rfam says of the family: Transfer RNA (tRNA) molecules are approximately 80 nucleotides in length. Their secondary structure includes four short double-helical elements and three loops (D, anti-codon, and T loops). The record is from Rfam. Lineage: Eukaryota; Metazoa; Chordata; Mammalia; Artiodactyla; Camelidae.